Molecule: long non-coding RNA, 418 nt
Organism: Rhipicephalus sanguineus (brown dog tick)
Lineage: Eukaryota; Metazoa; Arthropoda; Arachnida; Ixodida; Ixodidae
Exons: 3
Source: RefSeq, a predicted model, not a curated record
UGAAAUUUGAUCUCAAUUUAGAUCACAUGAAGGAUCUGGUUCACGCUUAAGUCUAAGUAGUGACGCGGGUUUGAUGUUGGAGAAGGCGACAGUCUUUUGAGAAACGUCCACCAGUCGACAUUGCAAGAAGACUACCAUGAAUUGCUGCAGUUGCCUGACUUCAGCAUUCCAGAGCUGUUGUAGAAGGCUCAGCAUGGGUUGCUGUGGUGCUCAUGAGUACCAGCCAAGAACUGUAUUUCUUGGAAGGCCACCAUCAGAAAAAGUUCCCACCUAACAAAAUAUGCAACCAAAAGUACAACAUCUUCACAUUUUUUCCUUUGGUCUUAUUUAAUCAAUUCAAGUUCUUUUUGAAUCUUUAUUUCUUGGUUGUGUGUUUGUCCCAAUUCAUACCCGACAUAAGAAUUGGAUAUCUCUACAC